AGAUGGAGUGAUGCCUCUCAA
Molecule: non-coding RNA, 21 nt
Filed under: Arabidopsis thaliana (thale cress)
Lineage: Eukaryota; Viridiplantae; Streptophyta; Magnoliopsida; Brassicales; Brassicaceae
Source: RNAcentral